AACAUGGCCGUGGAUCCCGUGCUCCGAGCCGCCCCCUGCAUCCCUCGGUCACAAGUUUUUUUGGUUUUCAUUUUCAACAAGUGGAAGAAAAAUUGAUUUUCAUACUUUAUGUUUGUUUUAAAUAUUUUCUCCUCCCCUGAUUCAGUGCGUGUGUAGAGGGGACAAUUUGGGGGCAUUUCCUCUCAUUUCCCCACUGAUUUUAAAACAAUCCUAAGGGGUUAGGGAGGUUAGAACACCCCCAAAUCCCAAACCAACAGUUUCAGUUUAUUCUCACCCCAGAUCCUCCUGCCAUUAGCCAGUUGCAGUAGGCCAGGAGGGGGCACCACGACAGCCCCCUGCAAAAUGUCCUGAUUGGGGCUCCCUGACCCCAGCCCCUGAGAGAUAAGGGAACCCCCAGAGACCCAGACGGAGAACCAGCCCCCUCCACAGGGGUGAUGCUAAUGUGGCCCUUGCUGUGAUGUCAUUGGGGGGCUGUCCCUGUCUCUGGGGGAAUGUGGGGGGUCAGGGGGCAGUGGGGAGGUGACAGUAGCGAGCAGGGCCCUGGAGGAAUGGGGAAAAGGUGAGUGGGGGGAGAGGGGUUCCCAGUUCAGAGAUGGUUCCAUCCCCAUCCCCCACCCUUUUUCACAUCCCACCACAGAUGGCAGCGAUGAUAGAGAAGGAAAACAGAAAAGCAGUAGAAGCCUCCAGGAGGAAAUAUGAACAAUUUGUGCAGCAGCUGGACCGUGACCACCAGAGCAUGCGCCGCUGCCUGAGUGUGAAGCCUGCGGAAAUGCAGCGACGCCAGGAGGGGAAACGUCAGGAGCUGCUGGAGCGCUGCCAGGGGGAGCUGCGGGGCGAGGAUCCCCAGAAAGAGGCGGCCCUGGAGGAGCUGAAGGAGGAGCUGGACAGGCACAUGGACGAGUUCCUGACGGCCUAUGGGCAGCCCUUUAAAGUGAAAAAGGCCGAGUGGUUGGGCCUGGCCAUGGGUCGGGGGGUGGUUCCUGGCAGUGGUGGGUGCGGGUAUCAGAGUAGGCAUCAGGGCGAGUGUAGUUGUAGUGGGGCUGGAGGAAGCAGUGGCCGUUGGGGUUCUGGCUGGGGGCUUUGGCCUGAUGGGGGGGGAGGGUUGGGCAGCUGGGUGGGCCCCAGUUUGGAUGGUAGGUGGACUCGAGCAAGACAGGCACCAACACCCUAGAUCAGGGGGAUGAGUGGGAGAGCAGGGCAGGAUGUUCAGAUCAGGAGCCCCUUCUGUGGAGGGACACACAGCGGGAAGGAACCAUCACACCUCACUCUGGUAAAGGGUCUGUGCCAGCCCUCAGCACUGGGAACCUCUGUAUGCAAGGGGAUAGAUAGGUAGAUAGAUAGAUAGAUGGGGCGUGUGGGGAUAGAGAGAUAGAUAGAUUGAUAGAUAGAUAGGGUGUAUGGGAAUAGAUAGAUUAGAUAGAUGAGGGGGUGGAUGGGGGUAGAUAGGUAGAUGAGAAGGUUGUGUGGGGAUAGAUAGAUAGAUAGUUAGAUAGAUAUGAGGGGGUGUAGGGGGAUA
This 1516-nucleotide long non-coding RNA is filed under the name Chrysemys picta bellii (western painted turtle). RNAcentral's name for it is "lncRNA (ENSCPBG00000020507.1)". The record is from RNAcentral. Lineage: Eukaryota; Metazoa; Chordata; Testudines; Emydidae.